Sebastes umbrosus (honeycomb rockfish) is the source of this 127-nucleotide long non-coding RNA. RefSeq lists it as uncharacterized. Lineage: Eukaryota; Metazoa; Chordata; Actinopteri; Perciformes; Sebastidae. The record is from RefSeq and is a predicted model, not a curated record. The transcript has 3 exons.
AACAACAUCAUGUGAACUGGGACUAAAGUAUGGGUAGAGUUUCUCAGUGAAGCAGCAGCCAGUAAAGGAGUAGAUAAGAGCUGCAGCAUCAACAUCAUAAAAGGAGACCAGACCCUCCUCAUAAUCC